Molecule: long non-coding RNA, 443 nt
Organism: Mustela erminea (ermine)
Lineage: Eukaryota; Metazoa; Chordata; Mammalia; Carnivora; Mustelidae
Exons: 3
Source: RefSeq, a predicted model, not a curated record
CAGACCCUGGGCUCCUGACCUGCAGGCUCAGUGUGGCUCGGUCAUAUUCAAAUACCCGGAUGCCAGGAUUGUUGGCCCCAUUGACCACACCAGGAGAGAGACCGCGGGACUGAGAGAGAGGCCAGCAAGAGGAGGAGGCGGGUAUGGGUUGGCCGCUGUCCUCUACGGUAAGUACCUGCGUCAUCGUAGAACAUCCGGAAGCUGUCGGUGUGGUGAUGGCCGAAGAACUGCCCUGCGAUGACUUGAUGGUGCUUCCGGAUCACCUUCAGGCUGUCGUGAGGCUGGAAAAAGAAGCCCCUUCCUGGUGCCAGGCUGAUGAAGGAUCUUCAGGGAUAGAGGCCCCUCAAGGGAGUGGCUGAGCUUGUGCAGAGGUGGGACACUGGCUCAGGAAGUGACCCCAGAGAGGGUAACAGGUGGACAUGGGAGCCCUUACCAUCUCCUUA